UGGUCCCGCAACAAAUAGGAAUUUGUUGCUAGGACCACGGCCCCCACCUAUAUAUUCAUAUAGGUGGGGCCCU
RNAcentral lists this transfer RNA (73 nucleotides) under Saccharomycodes ludwigii. RNAcentral describes it as "tRNA-Arg". Lineage: Eukaryota; Fungi; Ascomycota; Saccharomycetes; Saccharomycodales; Saccharomycodaceae. The record is from RNAcentral.